RNAcentral lists this ribosomal RNA (253 nucleotides) under uncultured bacterium. RNAcentral describes it as "partial 16S ribosomal RNA". It matches the Rfam family "Bacterial small subunit ribosomal RNA", at positions 524 to 776 of the family's 1533-position model. The record is from RNAcentral.
UACAGAGGUCCCAAGCGUUGUUCGGAUUCACUGGGCGUAAAGGGUGCGUAGGCGGUCGGGUAAGUCUGGCGUGAAAUCUCACAGCUUAACUGUGAAACUGCAUUGGAUACUAUCCGGCUCGAGGAGUGGAGGGGAGACUGGAAUACUUGGUGUAGCAGUGAAAUGCGUAGAUAUCAAGUGGAACACCAGUGGCGAAGGCGAGUCUCUGGACAUUUCCUGACGCUGAGGCACGAAAGCCAGGGGAGCAAACGGG